UGGGGGAUAUUGCACAAUGGGCGAAAGCCUGAUGCAGCGACGCCGCGUGGGGGAUGAAGGCUUUCGGGUUGUAAACCUCUUUCGCUAUCGAACAAGGCCCGCUUAGGGUGGGUUGAGGGUAGGUGGAGAAGAAGCGCCGGCUAACUACGUGCCAGCAGCCGCGGUAAUACGUAGGGCGCGAGCGUUGUCCGGAAUUAUUGGGCGUAAAGGGCUUGUAGGCGGCUUGUUGCGCCUGCUGUGAAAACGCGGGGCUUAACUUCGAGCGUGCAGUGGGUACGGGCAGGCUUGAGUGUGGUAGGGGUGACUGGAAUUCCAGGUGUAGCGGUGGAAUGCGCAGAUAUCUGGAGGAACACCGAUGGCGAAGGCAGGUCACUGGGCCAUUACUGACGCUGAGGAGCGAAAGCAUGGGUAGCGAACAGG
This 420-nucleotide ribosomal RNA is filed under the name bacterium. RNAcentral's name for it is "partial 16S ribosomal RNA". It matches the Rfam family "Bacterial small subunit ribosomal RNA", at positions 355 to 776 of the family's 1533-position model. The record is from RNAcentral.